CGAUGCACCCUAAUAACACACAUCACAAAAAAAAGAUGAAUCAUUCUUUGACAUGAAAAAUAUAGCCCGAACUCUUUCAAAUCUAUGCGAGCGAUUGAAAAUAGUUAGGAGUGCUUUGAGAUAUGUGCAAAUGUGAUCCAAUAGUUGACUUUUGCAAAAGAUCAUCAAUUAUUCUUUCACAUGGAAGAUGCAACCUUCAGCCUUUGUAUUAAUGCCUUAAAAUGGGUAACCCAUGCAGCUCUCAUAAAAAAUAUGCAUACAAAUAGUCCUUGCGACGUGGUAAGGGG
Molecule: long non-coding RNA, 287 nt
Filed under: Elaeis guineensis (African oil palm)
Lineage: Eukaryota; Viridiplantae; Streptophyta; Magnoliopsida; Arecales; Arecaceae
Description: long non-coding RNA (EGUI_LNC026598)
Source: RNAcentral